This 485-nucleotide ribosomal RNA is filed under the name uncultured bacterium. RNAcentral's name for it is "partial 16S ribosomal RNA". It matches the Rfam family "Bacterial small subunit ribosomal RNA", at positions 27 to 507 of the family's 1533-position model. The record is from RNAcentral.
GAUUGAACGCUGGCGGCAGGCCUAACACAUGCAAGUCGAGCGGAUGAAGGGAGCUUGCUCCUGGCUUCAGCGGCGGACGGGUGAGUAAUGCCUAGGAAUCUGCCUGGUAGUGGGGGAUAACGUCCGGAAACGGGCGCUAAUACCGCAUACGUCCUGAGGGAGAAAGUGGGGGAUCUUCGGACCUCACGCUAUCAGAUGAGCCUAGGUCGGAUUAGCUAGUUGGUGGGGUAAAGGCCUACCAAGGCGACGAUCCGUAACUGGUCUGAGAGGAUGAUCAGUCACACUGGAACUGAGACACGGUCCAGACUCCUACGGGAGGCAGCAGUGGGGAAUAUUGGACAAUGGGCGAAAGCCUGAUCCAGCCAUGCCGCGUGUGUGAAGAAGGUCUUCGGAUUGUAAAGCACUUUAAGUUGGGAGGAAGGGCAGUAAGUUAAUACCUUGCUGUUUUGACGUUACCAACAGAAUAAGCACCGGCUAACUUCGUG